RNAcentral lists this non-coding RNA (60 nucleotides) under unclassified sequences. RNAcentral's name for it is "MDR-NUDIX RNA". It matches the Rfam family "MDR-NUDIX RNA". The record is from RNAcentral.
ACUAUGAUCCAUGCGGAUCCUCUAUGCGCGUAUCGUUCGGACGAGCCGAACCGCUAGCGC